CCUGCCUCGGCCUCCCAAGUAGCUGGGAUUACAGCCGAGGUGGAGAGGACAUGACACACCCUGGAAGGAGGACAUCUUCACAUUUCAAGUCACUGUGGCCAGUUCUGGCCCCAGAACCACCAGGCACUGGGAGGAUCAGAGCAGACGUCAGAGACGUCUCAUGCUUCCAGAACCUGCCAUUCCCAUCUCCUUCUUUGUUGCAAUAGAGCAGACUUCUGGAAUUGGCAGUAAACUGGCAUUUGCUCUCCUAGUGUAAAAGAAAAUCUGCUUCAGAGAACAAGUAGCAAAUUCCCCAAAACAAACACUUAUAAUUAAGUAGUGUGUGUAUGUCUUGGUUAUAGGCCACCAGCAAUGAAAGGGCAUAGCCCGGUGUGAAUUUGCAUUUGAAUUCUUACCAAGGAGGCAGGCCCAGCAAACCAAUUAACCAAUUAAAUCAAUUAACCAAAUAUGUAAUUAACCUUGAGAACAGAAGUGUCAACAACAGAAGCACAACAAAGAAAGUAGCUUCCUCUUGGAAUUGUCUACUGGGUUUAAGCCUUUUAGUUUUCUGUCUUAAAGGCGUAGCCGCAGAGGGAAAACACUGGGCAUAAGACCAGUGGCCACGCAAUGUCAUCCUAUGGACUGGCUGGAAUCCAGCCAGAGGCAGUGUUUCCCACCUGUUCCGGCCCAUCGUCUGUAAGUAAAUACACGGAGUUUUGGAGGACGUGGUCCAUGAAACACUGGCCCAUUCAUAGUCAUUCCUUAUGGAAACACACAUGUCCACUAUUAAGAAAAGGGGACUAGCUGGAAAUUUUCAAGACAGAUCCUCCCUUGGAGAGGACAAUACCUGGUAAUUCAGACAAUUGAUUCUAAGACAAAAGGGACCGAGAAAGGAAUGGCAGCGUCUGCUAAACACAGUUAUGCGAGGCUGUUUGGACUGAGCUCUGACUCUGGGCCCCAGCAAUUAGCCUGAGUAACCAGUAUGGAGUCACUCAGGCUAAUUGCCACGAGAUCUGAAUGAACUCUGAAACAGGCCAGUUUUCCCAAAACAGAAGAUACACAACAACCAGUCGAAAGGAGCCUAGUGUACCAGAGCCUGAGUGACAAGGAAGUUCCCCUCUGUUUUAACCAUCUGUAGGGAAAGUAAAUUUGAAAUGAUCGAUCCACUUUUUGUCCCUUAUUUCUGCUCUCUUCAGCCUUUUUGUGCCUAUAAAGCAAACCUCCUCUGCUCCACCCAUCAGAACACUUACUCUACCAUAUAGAAGGAGGUGCUGCCCGUUCUAGCAUCACACAUAAAAGGCAGUUUGAUCUUUAAAGUGGUUGUAAUUUCACCUUUUGACAGCUUUAUUUUAUAGAGGUUUAAUCUGUACACAGAAAUCCCUGGGAAAGAGGAACUUGUGUGGCUAUAGGAAUUCUGUACUGCUCUGUGCAAUUCUGACACGUGGAAAUUUAUCAUUACCAAGACAAUACAUUAACGCCUUGACGUAAUGACUUUUCAGUAGCUCACCUUAUAAAAUUUUAGUUUUCAAGUAGCUUCAGAAAUGUUACUUAGAAUUAAUGAUGUGAAAAACACUAAGCUAGGCCUGAUGCCUUCGUGUAGCUUUCAUUUAGAGGUGGGGUGAAUUUCACUCAGAAAAAAAAUAAUAACCAACAAAGAGUUAUAUGUUAAACAGCAAAAAGAAAAUAAUACAGACCAGAAGCAAAUAUUUAUUGACCGAGUAAGGGAGACUGACUUAGACGAUUACUCACAUCAUUUCAGAAAAGCCGAAAUCACAAAGGAGAGGUAACACGAUCAAAUCAUUAACAGGGAAGCAAAAGCAAGUACACCAGGAACCUGGAGUCUUAUCAGGAGAAUAAAUAUGUAUGUGAAAUCUCAUACGGGAUUUUCCUAUUGCUUUCCUAUAAAAGACGUGGUUUCCGAUGUUGACCUAGGGCAAAAUCAAAGCUCACCUGGGCUAAGUCAGCACACAGUUCCUAAUCCUUAAGUAAAAAGAUACACUUGUGAACAGUAACGCUCAGUCAAGCUCCCAGCCUCUCCACCUCAUCAGGGAGUUAACGUGCAUUUUAUAACCGGGCCAGGAUGUUUGAAGAAUCGCAUUCCAUUCACUAAAAACCCAGGGAUCUCAUUCCCAUCCCAAAUGCAGGGCAAGCCCUCAGUAUUGUUUCAGUUAACCUCGCUGGGCCUCAGUUUCCUCGUCUGAAAAAGGAAGGGACUUUGGAAUGGGAAAUCUCUAUGAUCCCUCUCAUGAUUCGAAUAGACUAUUUUUCUUUUCCACCAAUAGAGGAAGGGACUUUUUGACAGCCAACAUUUCCAUUCCUACUAUUUUGGAACAACCAGAACACUGAAAAUUUGGUACGAAAAGCUUUUCUUACGAUAAAGAGAUAGCAUUUCUUUGAGAACAGUUGCUGAAACUUUAGUCAGGGAACUUAUCAAAUAAAGAAACCACCUCAUUUCAGACUAUGGGCUGAGUCCAAUAAAGUCAAACCCAAUACCUCCCAGGAAUUUAGAAUUACACAGUUGUUGAUCAAGUGGAGAGAAAAGAAUGUGAAUUUGUUUUUUCAAGAUUCUCCAACACCAUAUGAACUGUGGCUGCCUUUUCUUUAAAUCAUAUAAUAGAAGAAAACAAACUUCUAGAAACAGAUAUGUAUCAUCUCCUCCAAGUGGUGACUGGUCCCUGAUCAGUGUGCUGUGGUUUACCUUGCCUUGAACCCAAAACAAUCCCUUGUCCUCACAGAGCCUUGGGGAUGUCUGGAUGUCUGAUUCAGGAGGCUGAAUUCCUAUUCUAAGAUGCUUCAUACAAAUUGUAUUCUGUCUACAUCUGUGCAAGUUAAGUGUGUUAGUACUGACGUGGCAUGGAUUUAAUCAUUGUAAUGUUUGAUAGACUGAUAAUAUAUGAUGUUAAUGUUAAAUAUUAAA
Cercocebus atys (sooty mangabey) is the source of this 2896-nucleotide long non-coding RNA. RefSeq lists it as uncharacterized. The transcript has 2 exons. The record is from RefSeq and is a predicted model, not a curated record. NCBI's taxonomy places the organism in Eukaryota, Metazoa, Chordata, Mammalia, Primates, Cercopithecidae.